RNA transcript from Ostrea edulis (European flat oyster), 6716 nucleotides. RefSeq lists it as uncharacterized. The transcript has 2 exons. Lineage: Eukaryota; Metazoa; Mollusca; Bivalvia; Ostreida; Ostreidae. The record is from RefSeq and is a predicted model, not a curated record.
UUCAAGGUGAUUUUUGUAACAUACAUUUAAGAUUUGUUUCUAUUCUCCCAAACUCAAUACUUUAUAAUAUUAUCCAAUCAGCAUUCAGUAAUUAAUCACGUGACUCCAACUUAGCGUCACUCUACAAUUUUGACUUGCUUGUAGGCAGGCGUGGCUGCAAAUAAAGUGUGAUCUGUAUUUUAUAAAACUUGGGAGUUAAUGUGAUUUUCGAUGAUCAUAUCAACGUUUUCUUAAUCUGGUGCAGUUUUUUUUAAAACAGUAAGUGAGGAAAUUGGUUUCCUUUGUUUACUUUGUCAAUUUAUGUGCAUGUGCUGUGGGAAGUCGGUCAGUACAGGGGACGCUAUGUAAUUAUAAGCGAUUGCCUAAUGGAUAUCAACAAACCACUUAACGUAUGUAUUAUUGGAGACUCUUAUAUUCGCCGGUUGAAGGAAUUCUGUAUGACGAAGGACAUGUUAAAUCUAAGGUUACAAAAACAGUUUUGUUCGAUAAACUUUCGUGGAAAAGGGGGGCUUCGUGCACGCCGUGUUAAACACUUAGCGGGCGGAUCUAGGCAUGCGUUGCUCCGUUUUGACGAGGUCCCCGACGUGAUUUUCAUACAAAUAGGAGGAAAUGACAUCUCAGGAUCUACGAACUCUGCUCAACUGGCCAAAGAUAUUGUUUCCUUGGCGGAAUAUUUGGUGCUAGUUGUCGGAUUCGUAGACUCCCGUUCGCCACCUGUCCGGGAUACAACGACAUGGUGAUACGGAUCAACAUCCAACUGGAGAUGAUGACAAAAAACUUAUCGGGAGUGGUAUUUUUGGCGUCACCGUGGUUUCUGGGCUUCCCUGUCUUAUCUUGGGCCAGAUGGUGUACACCUAGAUUGCACCCCUUCCCACAGCCAGCCUAUGAGGAAAUAUCUUCGGAGUAUAAGAAAUGCUGUAAUUCAGGCUCCAAAAUUCCUCAGGCCAGUAUAAUUUUUAAGUUUGCACGGAAUUGUUUAUAUUUUCCGUUAUGUGUAUAUAGAAUAUUUUAAUAUACACUGACCUAGGCUUAAUUUCAAGCAAAGCAUUCAUAUCAGAUCAACAUCCGUUGAAUUGUAUUUGACAUGUAUAUGGCAUCUUGGUAAUAUGGUACCUAUGUUCUAUUGAUCGACUCUUGUAAUUAUGUUCAACAUCCACAUGCAGGUACUAUUUGCUUUCUGUUCAACAAACAAGGCAUGUGCAUAAUGACAUUUAAAUGCGUCUUAUGCAAUAUAUUGAUACAUAGUCUAUCUCUAUUUUAUUACAGUCCAAGAUAAUCCUAGCAGCAAUUUCAAUUCAAUGCAUAUUGAAUCUUUCUUGUACAUAUAUGGGUCAAUUACUAGAUACCUAUACAUAGUAAUCGUGUGAAUUAGAAUUUUAUUCAUUUUUAUUUGCAAGCGGGUCAAAGUUGCUCAUUUUUAUGUGGGUCUGAGUUAACCCAUAAAUUUCUGUGGGCCGGAGUUACCCAUAUCUUCUUUUGAGUCGGAGUUACCCAUAUUUUUUAUUUGGGUCGGAGUUACCCUUAUUUGUUCAUUGGGUCGGAGUUACUCACAUUUAUAUUUUGGGUCGGAGUUACCCAGAUUUACAUUUUGGGUCAGAGUUACCCAGAUUUACAUUUUGGGUCGGAGUUACCCAGAUUUACAUUUUUGGGUCGGAGUUACCCAGAUUUACAUUUUUGGGUCGGAGUUACCCAGAUUUAGUUUGUGUCGGAGUCAACCAUUGCUAUUUUAUAAUGGGUCAGAAUUAUACAUUUAUGUAGAGUAUCCCAGGGAUUGGUUGCACUUUAGAUUUCAUUUAAUAGUGGUAAACCAUAUCUCUUGAUGUUUGUCACCCUGUUUGUACUUCGUGAUUGAGUAUUUAUACGUUAGGCACAAUUUACUCUCAAUACCUAUUUUAAUUUGUGUCGUUUUACCUUAUUUCUUAAUGAAAUUAUAAUUUAGUUCAAAAUCACAAUGGUCAUGUGGUCUGCUGAUAGUGCAUUAAGCAAAUAUUAUUAUCAUUAUCCUUUUAUAUCAGUUCAGGUUUCUUAAGCAUAGUAAAUCAUUAUUCUACUUUUACAUGUCUGUGUGUAUGGCAGUUAUUACAUACUCACCCUUCAUCAGUUAAGCAUGCACCUUGUGCAUUACAUAUGUAGGUGUAUACUAUGUAUUUCUAUACUGAUUUGACAUUUCUCGUGGCAAAUUGGUUGCUAAAUAAUGCCACCUUUCAUAGUUAUUUGACAAUUUGUUGUAAAAUGUGUAUUGUUACAGGAACAAUGCCAUCCAAGCCCAGCCAGCGCCUGUCAGCGAAGCGCAGGAGAGUUAACUCUCCAGGUAGCUCAGAAGCUCCCAAUUUCACAUGUGCAAGUGAUUCAGUGCGAAAUGAUCCGAAUCCCAUUCAAGCAAGUUCAAGUGGAGUGAACACUUUAGCCUCACAAAUAGACUAUGCAGAAUUAGCAAAGCAUAUAGUUGCCCAACAGAGACAACAAGGAACAGAAAUUCAGCAGGAGGCAUCAGCACAGCCACAAACUAUAAGUGAGCUCAUCUAUGUUAAAUGGCAGUGAGGGAAAUCAGGAUGUGUCGGCCUCCAACUUAAGUUCCUUGUUGGACAAUGUUUUCACAGGUGAGUCGGCAAGUAGGUCACAAAGUCAAAUGCCAAUAGAAUUGUGUGAUACUGUGCCACUUGGGGCAACAGUGUCACAAAAAAUAAAACAAAAGAUAUGGAAUCACGAAUUCGUAGAUUUAAAAUCUUUGCUUCCAUCCUCAGGUGAAGAACCACUGGCCAUUACGGUCAAAGCUGGUAAAAUAGAGGUUAACCAGGCAUCCAACAAUAAAACUCCACUAAGCAUUAAUCAGUGGACAGAUGCUUUCUUAAUCUUUGCAUCAAUUUACUUGCAAAAGUUCCCUAAUGAUUCCUGCAAUAUUCUUAAAUAUGCUUUCACAGUUCGUGAAAUCAGCAGGCUCCUUGUUGAUCAAGCAUGGAGAAAUUAUGAUGAAUCCUUUCGUCGUAUCAGGGAAUCUUCAGUUAUUCCCUGGGAAAGGCCAAUUGCUGAAAUGCGCCUGAAGGCAGCAUCAAUGGGAGUACGUCAAGCAAACAAACCCCAAACUUAUAAAACUAAUAAGGGGCAGUCCUUUCGUUCCACCAAAGUUUGUUUUGCCUACAAUAAAGGUCAGCGAUGCAACACCUCUCCCUGCAAGUACGCCCACUUAUGUCAAGAGUGCAAUGGUCAACAUUCCAAAUUCAAAUGCACAGGGGCAAAAUCAAACUGGUCAACCUCCCAACCCCAGUCAAACAUUGCAAAUGCCAAUCCUUCCAACCCCAAUAAACCCGCUAAAUUUGCAAAGUAAGCUCCAGGGUUAUGACCCUCUUAAACUUAACUAUCUGAUUGAAGGCAUUAGGUAUGGUUUUCGACUUGGUUGUUCAAAGUCACCAUCAAUUCAUCCUCCACACAACCAUAAAUCUGCUUAUUCUUAUCCUCAGGUAGUAGAAGAAUACAUUACCUCUGGCUUAUCAACAAGUAGUAUCAUGGGUCCAUUUGCUGUACCCCCAUUUCGGAAUUUUAAGACUUCACCAUUAGGCGUGGUUCCUAAGUCUGAGCCAAAUAAAUUUCGUAUCAUUCAUGAUCUUUCUUUUCCUCAGAAUGACUCAGUAAAUUCUAACAUACCUAAAGAGCACUCACAGGUUCAAUAUGAUUCCAUAGACACAGUAGUGUCCCUUAUAUAUAAGUUUGGCCGGGGAUCUUUGAUGGCAAAGUCAGACAUAAAUGACGCUUUCCGUAUUAUGCCUGUUAGUCCACAUGAUUAUCAUCUUCUCGGGUUUAUUUGGAGGGACCAUUUCUAUUAUGAACGUUGUUUACCUAUGGGAGCCAGCUGUUCUUGUCAGAUUUUUUAGAAACUUAGCGAAGCUUUGCAAUGGUUUAUGAUGACAAAAUUCCAUGCUGCGGGUAUGUCACACAUUUUAGACGAUUUCUUUUUUAUUGGUCCCCCUAAUUCAGAGAAAUGUAAGGUAGAUCUUGCAGUCUUUCUUGCACUUUGUCAAAGAGUUGGUAUCCCUAUCAAUAAGAAAAACACUUUUGGUCCUCUAACAAAGUUGGUGAUUUAUGGUAUAGAAGUUGAUUCAAUUGAGAUGAUGAGUCGCUUGUCUCAAGAUAAGAUUGACAAAUGCCGUAACCUACUUCUAGCUUUUGCUUUACGCAAGAAGGUAACACUAAGAGAACUUCAGUCUCUGAUAGGAGUUUUGAAUUUUGCGUGUUCUGUUAUAAUCCCGGGACGUGUUUCCUGAGGCGUUUGAUUGACCUUACCAUAGGAGUUACCAAAUCUCAACAUUUUAUUCGUUUGUCAUGUGAGGCUAGAGCAGAUAUGUCUAUGCGGUUGCAGUUUCUUGAUCAGUUUAAUGGAAAGUCUGUACUCUUUUCUGAAUCUUGGGAAUCUUCUGAUGUCAUACGUUUCUACACAGAUGCUUCGGGUUCGCUAGGCUUUGCAGCUGUAUUUGGCGCCACAUGGUUGGUUGGUUCAUGGACCGAUGAGAUGGCUACCUUUCAAAUUGCUAUUAAGGAAUUAUUUCCCAUUGUUUUAAGUCAUGAAAUAUGGGGUACUCAGUUGAAAAACAAAAAAGUUCUCUUCAUGUCAGACAAUAUGGCAGUGGUACAAAUCAUAAAUAAGCAAUCUAGCAAGGAUAAGACUUUAAUGAGGCUUGUGGGGCGCUUGGUUCUCACUUGUCUUACACAUAAUAUUUUUUUCAAGGCAAAACACAUUCCUGGAAAGUAUAACAUCAUUGCAUAUAGGUUGUCUCGUUUCCAAUUUCAGGAGGCUCGUCGUCUGGCGCCACUCCUGGACAUACAACCAACGGCGGUUCCUCCACAGCUGUUGCAAAUUUGAGUUCUGUCACCCAGACAAUCUUAAGGGCUUCUUUGUCAGUUUCAACUAGGGCUGCAUACAAACACUCGUGGGAGCUAUACAUGGCGAUGUCUCCAAAUAUAGUUUCAUUACCUUUGCCUUUGCAGAGCAUUUGUAAUUUUAUAGGAUAUCUGUUUGAGAAACAGUAUAGUGCCAGUAGUAUUGCCUCUCAUAUCUCAGCUCUCAGCUAUGUUCAUAAGCUCUUGGAUGUUAAAGACCCUACUCAAUCUUUCAUUGUAAAGAAACUUUUGAGGGGAUGUCACAAGCUAACUCCCUCUAAGGAUUCUAGAUUGCCCGUUACGAAAGAAAUACUUUGUAAAUUACUUAAUGCCACAGACUUUACUGUUCCCCAGGCUCUCAACAAAUUGCUGCUCAAAGCUCUGUAUUUACUUAGCUUUAAUGCUUUCCUCCGUUUAGGUGAAGUUGUCAUCAAAUCACCCUCAGACUGCAAUAAGGUAAUUCAGGUUCAAGAUGUUUCCUUCCGAAUGAAACGAAAAGACCCACUUUCUCUUCAAAUAACCAUACACCACCACAAAUCUCAAAAGAACAGUGACCCUGUCAUUAUCACAAUUCAAAGUAACCCACAUAGUGCACAUUGCCCAGUGCUUAGUCUAUAUCGCUAUAAAAGCUCCUUUCCACAUACAUCAGGUCCAUUAUUUCAAUUCACCAAUGGGGUUCCAGUUCCUUAUUCUUAUGUUUGUGGGCAGCUGUUCAAAGCAGCAAUAUUUGCAGGUCUUGACCCCAGACGUUACAAAGGUCAUAGUUUUCGCAUUGGAGCUGCCACUCAUGCUCCUUGGUUAGGUUUCUCAGAAAAUUAUAUUCAGCAUUUAGGUCGUUGGAAUUCAAAUGUGUUACAUCGGUACAUAAGAAUACAAUUUUUCAAAUUAUAAGCUAGCACAUUUUGCGAUUACUAUAACAUUAACUAAAAUUUAUACAUUCAAGCAGGUCAGUGUCUCACUGCUGCUUUAAGCAUCAUAACAUUUGUACAUGUGGGUCAUUUCCAUGUCUUAUUUAUAUAUAUUUUUAUUUUGGGUGAAGAUCAAGUUUGUUAACUGUUAGAUCAAGUUUGUUAACAUCAAAAUUCUUUUGAGUUUUCUGGAACGAUUAUUUGAUGCAUGUAUGUAUUUCUAUAGCUUGACCUACUUGCCGGCAUUAAUGACUUUACUUUGUUUAUAGUUUUGAUCUUAUGAACAUAUACUCAUUCCUGUUUGCAUAAAAAGCCACAUGCUUGAUAUCAGGACAGUGUUUCACUGCUGUUAUCAUUACAUGUUUUCUGUUAUAAAAUGUAUUCUCAUUUAGUUGUGAUUGAUUCUAGUCUUCAUCAAGGUUGCAUGUUUAUUUAGAUUAUUAGUCUUAGUCUACUUUGUACAUUUUAACGUGUUAUUUGACAAGCUAGUGUCUCACUGCUGUCAUCCAUUUUUGACAAAUUGUUAUUUUGAAUUUGUGUUAUUUGUUUUAUGUAUUAUUCACGAUUGUUGAAACUACUCAGGAAGGUUUUCUUUGUGUAAGUGAUGAGGGUUGAUUUUAAUGUCCAUACCUGUAUUUUGUUGCUCGCAAGCUCACCUUGGAUGGCACGGGAUGUGAUCUGUUGAUCUCAUCUUGUGGCCAAUUUUUUGAUGUGCCAUCUUUUUGCUGCAUCUUUGUAAGGUUGUUUUUUAUUGUAGUUGAUGUAGACUUUUAUAGAUAAAUUUGGGGGAUCAGACAUAUUGAAUUAUUUUGUCAUUGUUUAUUUUCUUUCUCCAUUUCAGUGACAUUUUCAGUGGAUUGUUUGUGAGUCUGAUCCCCUUGUUGGUAGUUUGUUAUCUAGUUCGUCAUUUGAAUAAAUGACAUUUUUCAUACUCAA